This 500-nucleotide ribosomal RNA is filed under the name uncultured bacterium. Its description in RNAcentral is "partial 16S ribosomal RNA". It matches the Rfam family "Bacterial small subunit ribosomal RNA", at positions 30 to 523 of the family's 1533-position model. The record is from RNAcentral.
AUUGAACGCUGGCGGAAUGCUUUACACAUGCAAGUCGAACGGCAGCACGGACUUCGGUCUGGUGGCGAGUGGCGAACGGGGGAGUAAUGUAUCGGAACGUGCCCAGUCGUGGGGGAUAACGUCGUGAAAACUACGCUAAUACCGCAUACGAUCUAUGGAUGAAAGCGGGGGAUCGCAAGACCUCGCGCGAUUGGAGCGGCCGAUAUCAGAUUAGGUAGUUGGUGGGGUAAAGGCACACCAAGCCAACGAUCGGUAGCUGGUCUGAGAGGACGACCAGCCACACUGGAACUGAGACACGGUCCAGACUCCUACGGGAGGCAGCAGUGGGGAAUUUUGGACAAUGGGCGAAAGCCUGAUCCAGCCAUUCCGCGUGCAGGAUGAAGGCCCUCGGGUUGUAAACUGCUUUUGUACAGAACGAAAAGGUUUCUACUAAUACUAGGAGCUCAUGACGGUACUGUAAGAAUAAGCACCGGCUAACUACGUGCCAGCAGCCGCAGUAA